AUUGAACGCUGGCGGCAGGCCUAACACAUGCAAGUCGAACGAGUGGCGGACGGGUGAGUAAUGUCUUGGCAACUUCCUGAUUGCUGGGGAUAACUACUGGAAAAGGUAGCUAAUACCGCAUACCAUCGGAUGUGCCCCGAUGGGAUUAGCUAGGCGGUGGGGUAAAGGCUCACCUAGGCGACGAUCCCUAGCUGGUCUGAGAGGAUGACCAUCCACACUGGAACUGAGACACGGUCCAGACUCCUACGGGAGGCAGCAGUGGGGAAUAUUGCACAAUGGGCGCAAGCCUGAUGGAGCCAUGCCGCGUGUAUGAAGAAGGUCUUCGGGUUGUAAAGUACUUUAAGUGGGGAGGCGUUACCCGCAGAAGAAGCAACGGCUAACUCCGUGCCAGCAGCCGCGGUAAUAC
This 406-nucleotide ribosomal RNA is filed under the name uncultured bacterium. RNAcentral describes it as "partial 16S ribosomal RNA". It matches the Rfam family "Bacterial small subunit ribosomal RNA", at positions 30 to 526 of the family's 1533-position model. The record is from RNAcentral.